Molecule: ribosomal RNA, 372 nt
Filed under: uncultured bacterium
Lineage: Bacteria
Description: bacterial SSU rRNA
Rfam family: Bacterial small subunit ribosomal RNA
Source: RNAcentral
UACGGAGGAUGCAAGCGUUAUCCGGAUUCAUUGGGUUUAAAGGGUGCGUAGGCGGCUCUUUAAGUCAGUGGUGAAAUCCUGCCGCUUAACGGUAGAAUUGCCAUUGAUACUGAAGAGCUUGAGUACAGUUGAGGUAGGCGGAAUGUGUAGUGUAGCGGUGAAAUGCUUAGAUAUUACACAGAACACCGAUUGCGAAGGCAGCUUACUAAACUGUUACUGACGCUGAUGCACGAAAGCGUGGGGAGCGAACAGGAUUAGAUACCCUGGUAGUCCACGCCGUAAACGAUGCUCACUCGCUGUUUGCGAUACACAGCAAGCGGCCAAGCGAAAGCAUUAAGUGAGCCACCUGGGGAGUACGAUCGCAAGGUUGAA